This is a long non-coding RNA of Leucoraja erinaceus (little skate), 2273 nucleotides long. RefSeq lists it as uncharacterized. The record is from RefSeq and is a predicted model, not a curated record. The transcript has 6 exons. Lineage: Eukaryota; Metazoa; Chordata; Chondrichthyes; Rajiformes; Rajidae.
CACAACACGCAUGCGCCCGUCUCUAGGAGCUCUGUAUAUAAGGGCGGUUGGGCGAGCCGCGCGUCCCUCUUGCUUCUUGUCGAUGCCCAGAGCGGUUAAAUUUGCACUGAAUGGUUUUGAGAGGUUGCUUGCACUGGAGCACCAUCUUCAGAUAUGUGUCAAGAUUUGUCUGCCCAGCUUGCUCUGGAUCAAACAUGUCACUGCUUCAAUGAAAUGGAAGGUGUAGCUCCAAGCAAACCAGGUAUGUUUCAGGAUGAGGCAACCUGAUUGAAAUGAGCGGUUCUUUCAACGCAAAGUAAAAGCCACGGUGCCAUGUAGAAACAAGGAACCACCUAUGCUGGUUUACGAAAGACAGUGCUGGAGUAGCUCUGGGUCGGGCAGCAUCUCUGGAGAACCUGGAUAGAUGAUGUUUUGGGUUGGCACCCUUCAGACAAGGUUUACAGCAACAACUGAUUACAAUGCUGUAGAUUCGGUGCUGGAAUUCGGAAUUUAAAAAUAUGAAGCAACUAGUCAGCAGACCAGGGGGCAUCUUGGAGAGGAGCAGUGAUGCAUUUUCAUUGUGACUGAACAUAACUGAUACCAACUGCACUGAUAUUGACAAUCCAGGAGUCACUAUUAUUGAUGCAAUCUUGAUGUUGUGAACCAGUUGCUGAGAUGCAUUGACUUGUUUGGCAGUGUUCAAACACAUCUAUAUGCUUGAGAAGGUACACAAAAAAGCUGGAGAAACUCAGCGGGUGCAGCAGCAUCUAUGGAGAUGUAUGCUUGAGAAAUUCAACUGAUGUGAAAAAGUCAUCCUAAGUAAAAAAGAACUCUGCUAUUCAAUCUACAGCACCUGCCAAGAUUAAUGAAGACAGCUCUAACUCAACGUUUCUCAACAUUUUUACCCUUGUGGAACCCUUGAAAUAAUUUUCGCGUUUGCUCGCUGAAUUUCAUCAAAAGUAAGUCAAUAAUGCCUUACUUUUGAUGAAAUUCAGCGAGCAAAGGAGCAUAAUUCCCGAUAUUUUGGACCUUUAAAUCUCCACGGCAAAUGUCCGCUGUUCACUUCCGCUGGAUUGGCACCUUCAGCUCCCUCUUUAAUUUACCGUAGUUUCUAUCUUUUUUUUAACUGUAAAUCUAGGUAGCUGUGCCUCACGGUCACCCCGACUGGCACAAUAAAUUGCGGAUCAAACCCUGGCCGUUUUCUAUGUUUUUAACGGGUGGGAAAGUGCGUGUUUUCCCAUCCACUAACAUGUACCGGAUGUCUAGCAUGUCCUCCACUUGAGAUUUUCGGUCACGUGGGUGCGGGUCUACGCUCCAGUGACCUUUCGUGAAAUCACCCUAUAAACAGACAAAACAGCCACAAUAACUACCACAAUAACUUAAUAGUUUAUUGACAAUGUUGAAAGGGCAUAAGAUAAAUCGAGGCAAUAUGUCAUAUGAACAAUAUAUGGGUCAAGCCAAUGUUAUUUUUUAAGCCAAUUUACUAAUGAAAUUUGCUUCUUUAAUGAGCAACUUGUCCAUGUCUUUUGGGACACAUAUAAUUUAUUUUGGGUCGAACUUUAGAUAAACACUGAUUUAAUCUUCAACUGAAAGGAGACGAUUUCUGUCUUUGCUCUUGAUACUUGUUAAAUAAGGAAAAGCUUGCUCACGCAUGUAAGAGGUUGAAAACCCCAGCAAUAUGUAUUGUUUUCCUAUGAAUGGCAGGUUACUCUUUCACAGAAAUCCAGAACUUGUCCAGGGAUAGGUCAGUAAAUUUCAUCUUGAGUGUACGAUCAGACUACAGCUCACAAAGUUCUUCCUCUUCUCUUAAAGUCAAGUUCUCAGGAUGAGCAGAAGAUUCAGAGUAUGGAUGGAUCCCUCACUAAGUCAUACACGUGUUGAAAGGGAGGGAAAAUAAUGUUCGAUUUUGAUCCACAGUUCUUCCAGGUGGGCUUCAAAAAGACUUGAAAUUUACUGAUAUUCUUCUUCACUCUUAAGCCCCAUUAGUAGUUGAAACAUUUCAAGAUUUCCUUUUGCAACAUGAUUUUUCCAAAGAUUCAGUCUUUAAUCCAAGAAUUUUGUCACUUGAAGUCGAUCCAUUUUUUCCAGGGCCUAGCAGUGCCACUGACCAUUAAAGGCUGUUUCACAUUGGCACCGUAUAGAUGUCGCUAAAUAUGUUCAUAUGAUUAUUAUACUUUAAAAUUAUGUAAUAGGUUGAAGACACUUAUAAUACCCAAGAAUUUUCCAAGAAUAUGCUGUACGUGUAUAAUAAAAUUACAAAUAAGAAAUUAAACACAAAAAUGAUUCAAAUGCAU